Long non-coding RNA from Pomacea canaliculata, 5640 nucleotides. RefSeq lists it as uncharacterized. The transcript has 2 exons. The record is from RefSeq and is a predicted model, not a curated record. Lineage: Eukaryota; Metazoa; Mollusca; Gastropoda; Architaenioglossa; Ampullariidae.
GCGCGAGGGGGUUGUCGGGGUGGAUGGGGCUGGUGGUAUGGGGGGGAGCACGGCGAACGGCAGCUGUUUCAGCAAAGACGUGUGUUCAACCCUUCUGUUACCGUUCCAUUAAAAAUAAGCGAGGUGGAAGCGCCUAAACUUGAAGAUCGAGAGCCAAGUGGGAACAGACAGCGGCGAGAGAGGCUGACAUUGUCGGGAAACACCUCCAACUGUAAACAAGGAUAAGACAGAUAAAAGAAAACUAAACAAACAAAGAACGGGUAGCAAAACUCAGGUGUAAAAACUUAUUUUUAAAAUAUCUUAAAGAGCAGGAGGAUCAAGAAAUCAGAAACAAGCACCGAGCUUGUGAUAAUGGGAGUAACAACAAGGGGUAGAUAAAAUAUACCAAACAGAAAAUAUAACAAAGAUAAUAACGAAAUAUGACAGAACAGAAUGUAAUAGAAUAACAAACUGUAAUAGAAAAUGUAACACAACAGAAUAGAAUAACUGACUAUAACAGCGCAAACGUGUAAUGCCUGAAGUUUAAACCGAGUACCCGUCUAGACAUGGUUCAACCGCUCCUACCCACUUCUGUCAUGUAAUCACCGAGUGAGAGUAAGUGGUGAUUACAAACUAGCAAUUAUCACCCGUCUGCAAGCUUCCCUUGACAUGGGCAGUGGUCCAUUCACACUUCACUACCUCCCGCUACUAGCCACACGGUAGAUGGAUGCUUGUCCUGGCGGGAAAGUGCUUCCACCUACAGGUGAUUUCGCACGAUGAGGGAAGAAUGGAGAGUAAAAGAAAGCGGAGUACCGACGGCCGGACCCACGAACAGGUGUCACACAAAGUGUCCCGAGACGAGAUAUGAACCCAAAGCCUCCCUGCAGUGGUGACAAGCGAAUGUUGUAACCACUACGUGACCCGGCGCCAGAUGACAGACGUUAGAUGACAGACGUUAGACGGGUAGCAGACACGUGCUGAUCAGUGACGUCAUCCUACUUGAGCGAGAAGUGGUUGAGAGGACGGUUACCACGCUGGUAGCCUCCGGUGGACAGGUGGGCUGACCUCAAAAUGAAGUUUGAUAGUUUUAUGUCAGGUAAUCAGAAUGGAACCCUUCCUCCCUCCUCCACCGCUUGGUCACGUGUUACAAUAUUAAUUUUGCUUACUAGGAACGGAGUACCUUACGAUUGUGUAAGUCGUUGGUAGGUGGGGUGGAGGGGUAAUCUGUGGACUUCUCUGCUGACGACUCACCAAUUAAAUCUCUCCUCACACCGCAGCUCCCACUCUACGUGACAGAAACGUCGUCAGCACGUACUACAACAAGUCACAGCGAUCACGUCAUCAUCCUAUUCUUACAGCAGCCACCGUUACAUGAAUGUGACACUCCACUGUCUUCCAUAUGCUACCCGAGUGACUGAGGCGGGAGUGAGGCUAAAAAUAACCCGCCGAGGAUAACUUGUUCAUUUAAGGGACAAAAAGUGCGAGUGGAAAAAAAAGGAUGGAAAAAUUAAGUCUGUGAAAACUCUUCUUCCCGCUGGCAGCGUGCAAGCUUUUGUUCCGACAAGCCGGGAGAAUAAAGACAAAACUUGUUCCCGACAGCACAAGCUGGUUUAGGAGUGACAGAUGGGCUGAACGCUACUCUCCGUCCUCAGCGCGCCUGUUUGUUAGUCUGUGGUCCAGAUGUCACCACAGUUGAUGGUAUCUAACAUACUGUAGAUAAUAAUCGAGAUAACAGUUUGUCAAGGCACUGGGCAAAGUUAUAGAAAGAAGUGCAACUAGAUAUUAGUCAUACUUAUUGACAUAAACAUCUUCAUUAAAGAGCUUCAUCUUAAGGGAAGUGUUACGAACUUCAUCUGAAUUUUAAUUAUGGUGGUUGAGGGUCUUGAAAGUUGUUGAAAGGAGGUAAAAAGCUCGUUUGUGCCUGUACCUAUGUGUGCUGAAACAUUGCCCAGGUAUGACUCCGCCAUCACCGAGACUCACCUACAGCUGUAGGUAUAAUGCAGUUACGAUGCCAGGUGUCGCCACAAGGCAGCCGCGUAUGACCAUCGACCACGAAACUCAAGGUGACACGACAGCUGGCGACACCACCAUGUGCCCCUCCCACCACCCUGCUGCAUCUACCAUCGCACACACACACGUACACACACACACACACGUACACACACACACACGUACACACACACUUCACACCUUUCGGAAAUGACAGCUGAAGCCGGCGACAUCUGUGCGGCGAUGUGGAUGUGGAUGGUACCAGCCGGGUGAGCAGUUCAAAGUGAUGACCAACUCUUUUGUAAAUCAAGAAAAUCAUCCUUUCGCUCCAUCACCAACUGGCAUACCCCCCGAUAUCGAUAAAUUAAACCAUCUUUUAACAACGGUGAAGCCGCUACGCAGCUUGUAAUGGAGAAAACCGAAACCGUGACAUCUCUCUCCUUUUCCCCCUCCUCCACCCCCUCGGUUUCCCUCCCGCCGCCGAUUCGUUGAGUCAGCAGCACUUUAUAACGUGGACAGAUCGAACGAUUGAACCAGCUGGCACGGCAUAAAAAUUAAAACUUCGAUUGGAUCGUAAGAGAGAAGAGUGUUGGUCCAUGCCGCAAGUACCCGGUCCUAUCUCUACUGUCGCGCUGACAUUACGAGAGCCGCAACACCUGUCGACACAGGUGUGAGCUGCAGCAUUAUGGACUGACUGCCUUUGGGACCCUGGGGUCGACUCCCCUUAAAGCCCUCUUACAGUGCUCAUUUCUUUUUCUGACAGUUGUUUUCAAUCCCGUUUUAUGUUCGCAAUAGCUGGGGGUGUUCCUACCUGCAGAUUAAAAUGCGUGUGUGUGCGUGCGUGUGUGUUUGUGUGGUUCAUCGAAGAACAGAUGGUUACUAGCAGCGCCACCUACAGUGGCACGUGGGGUUGCGACUGAGAAUCGAUCAGGGUAUGUAGCCAUAAAAACUUCAAUCAACUGAAAACAUAAUUCAUGUGGUCUGCAUCACUUCUGGUCACCCGCGGCUGUGACCAGCCCUCCCCCAAUGCUGUUGACAAGUCCAGCAUCACGUGACACAUCUACACCGUCGCCAGUAAGUCAGAUGAUGGCUGAUGUUCACCAACACGCACAUUUUCUUCGUGGCAUGCCAGUGUGACAUUUCCGCGAUGUUCUUCUCGUCCCUGGCGUGUCCACAGCUUCCAAAUCACACAACUGCCCUCCCAGGAUGGUCCAGGACCUCGCCGAGGCAAAAGCAAAAGCCUUGUACAGCAUGGCGGCCCCUUCCAGACCGCACCAGCCGCUGGCGGCGCCAGAAGCAGAGAAAGGAGGAAAUGUAAAAGCAUCUCUCGCUCUAUCUGCCUCUCGCACGUUGACGCACGCGCAGCUCGCAGGCCUGCAGCGACACGCGCUCUGUGGUGCCCGCGCCUGGCCACCUGUCGACUGGCCAUCUGGAAGGCGUUAGCAGCCCCAGACUUUCUGGUACCAGUGAGGAAUGCAGGCAGCACCUGAAACCGGUGCAAUCUGUGCGCCAUGUGUUUGCAGUUGCUCCCUCACCCUCCCGCCAGCUAUCUUCACCAGCCGCCUCUUCCUCCGGCCAGGGAGGGUGAGCGCGCGGCAUCCUGAUGGAGCACACGGCGAGCUUUGCUGGAGGGAGACCGGGAGGAGGGAAGGAGAGAGCGGAGCAGGUCCUUGCUCUCAGCCUUCAGGAUUAUCGCAACCUGCGCUUAUUUCUUCAGGUGUUCCUUGUUAUCGUUUCUUCUAAUGUGAAAAAAUGUUUUGUAUUAUCUUAUCUACUAAUCCUGUAAGCACGUUCCUUAAUCAUACAAAAUAUUCCUAGUUCAUUUCUACUUCUCGGACAAAUAUAUUCUUUAUUAUCAUUGACACUAAACAAGUAUGUUUCUUUCCUCAUAAUAUCUUGUUUACAUAUUUAGUAGUUUGUUGUUUAUCCAUGAUCCCAGCAUCUUCAGAAGUUUACGGUAAUUUCUUCCUGAUGUGUCAAUCAUACUUCCUGGAAACAUGUUUGCGAGGCCAGAUUCACAGGUGUGUAUGUUGUCUGUGUGUAUGUGUGUAUGUGUAUGUUGUGUAUGUGUAUGUGUAUGUGUAUGUUGUUUUCACAAUCUCCUGAUUGUUCUCAUGUCAUCAGCCAGCAGUGAGACGAGUUCAGCCUGACGACGAAUAAAGUUCCCACCCUGCCUUGCGAUCGAAACUAUACAAGAUUUUACUUUCAUUUUUUUUUUUAGAAAUUGUUUUUGUUUUGAGGCUGGCGAAUGCUGUUUUAUUCCCCAAGCUCUAAAAGAAAACAAACCAGAUUUUUUAAAAGCAAAAAUCAUUAUCUAAAUUUGUUUGUAUUGUGUUCGCUUGCGCGCGCGUGCAUGCGUGAUCGAAAGAUUGGUUAGCCAAUAGAGUGGAGGGAUGGGUAGCAACGAUGGGUAACAACGAUGGGUAACAAUGAUGGGUAUGUACCUCGCGUGCUGGCGGUAUGGGCGGCAUCCCCGGGGGGACACGUCCCUGUGAGCGAGUCAAUGACACCGAGAAGGGGUGUCAGGUGCAGUGCAGCGCCUAGUCAUUACUGAAAUUACCUCCAACUUCUCGUCGCCAUCGACCCGCCUCGUCCCCCAGUUGGCCAAUGAACCCAGCCUCCCAGCCACCCAGCCACCCAGCCAUCAAACCAGCCCACUCCCCCUCUCUCCGCGAAGCUCGUCUGCGUAGCUGGCAAGCAAAUUAGUCGUUUUCGUGCAGAAGUCAAGCUUGUUUAUUAUUUAUAAACAAACUGCAGCGAACACGUAACCGUUCUCCACGUUCUGUCUGUCGUGCGCUGCGAGAUUCGUUCCAGCGGAGAGUGUGUGUGUGUGCGAUCAAUCCACUCUGCGCGAGACCCCAGUGGAGGGCAGAUGGUUACGAUUCCUCUGAGACAGUGGAAGAAUGCCCGGGCCAUGGCGAUCGUCUGCUAGUCCUGAUUGAAGACCUCCCCACCCCACCCCAGCCCACCCCGCGCCCCACCCCGAUACAAUGGCCGCCCCGCUCUCUGCGGUCCGUAUGUCGCAAGCUGCCAGUGUGUGCGCAGCUGGGACUCGAGCAAAACGGGGAAACCAGGUGGAAUUUAAUUGAUUGAAUUUGCCUUAAUUCCAUGCAAUUCUCGCUUUCUUCUUUGUCUGCCCUCACCUCCAGAAACGACUCCGCCAUCGUACAACAAAUUGGGUUUCUUCUUGAUUUCUCUUUAGGACCAUCCUACUUUGGUCCUCCAUUGUGUAGACAUGCUCAUCCGACAGUACCCAUCACCACCACCACCACUGCCUCCACCACCACCACCAACACCACCACCACCAUCACAGCCUCUACCACCACCACCACUCCUGCUCGUCGAUGUCUUUUUUGUUUUAAGAGUUUGAACUUUUUUGCUUGGUAAUGUUUAGCCUUUAUUUUUUCAAUAAAUGAUGGCAGCUCUUUGUUCGUGCCCCAUCCCCUCUCUGUAUCAAACUUCUUAAUUGUUUUUCUUCUUGUUCUAAGUAAGGUUAUGACGGGGCCAUCCUUAUUAUUAUCAUCAUCAUCAUCUUCAUCAUCAUUUUCCUGUUGUGUAUAUAUUUACUUUUAUUCAAGCUCUAUAUGAUGAAAUUGUAUGGGUGAAUGCUAUUUGUGUAUCAUGUCGAUGUCUCCAUACCUCUCAAAUGAUGAAUGAAUAAAAUUAAUGUCU